AUGAACAACGCAAAAGUAGCUGGAGUGUUAUGCUUCCUAGUGCUUGUGGCUCUCUCUUCUUGUUCGCUCCAUGCACGAGCAGCCAACGACAUAGAUCACUGCCUCCUUGAUAAAAAAAAGGUGAUGCGAGACUGUUGGCAUCACAUCGAAAAGAAACUUGGUGACCAGUACCCGCCACUCCAUAGCGCAUGUUGCAAUACAAUAAGAGAUGCAAAAGACAUCCACUGCGUCUAUGAUCGCUUCACCGCUCACGAACUGACUUUGCUCAGUCUAGCCAAGUUUGCCAUGGCUACACAUGUAUGCGGCAAUGGGUUGCACAUAGACACUCACUGUGCGGGUUAUCGUGUUCCGGAAAUAAAGCUACCACCUCCACCCGCGGCAAGUACCUAG
This 390-nucleotide ribosomal RNA is filed under the name Triticum aestivum (bread wheat). RNAcentral describes it as "partial small subunit ribosomal RNA". The record is from RNAcentral. Lineage: Eukaryota; Viridiplantae; Streptophyta; Magnoliopsida; Poales; Poaceae.